This 255-nucleotide ribosomal RNA is filed under the name uncultured bacterium. Its description in RNAcentral is "partial 16S ribosomal RNA". It matches the Rfam family "Bacterial small subunit ribosomal RNA", at positions 524 to 776 of the family's 1533-position model. The record is from RNAcentral.
UACGGAGGGUGCGAGCGUUGUCCCGGAAUCAUUGGGCGUAAAGGGCGCGUAGGUGGCCUGCUAAGCGUGCGGUGAAAGCCUGGGGCUCAACCCCGGGUCGGCCGUGCGAACUGGUGGGCUUGAGCACUGUAGAGGCAGGCGGAAUUCCGGGUGUAGCGGUGGAAUGCGUAGAGAUCCGGAAGAACACCGGUGGCGAAGGCGGCCUGCUGGGCAGUAGCUGACACUGAGGCGCGAAAGCGUGGGGGAGCAAACAGG